UAGAGGAAGUAAAAGUCGUAACAAGGUUUCCGUAGGUGAACCUGCGGAAGGAUCAUUAUCGAAAAAGCUUUCGGUUGUUGCUGGCUCCCUCUCGCAGGGGGGCAUGUGCACACCGAUUUCAUCCUUCACACACCCCAUGUGCACCUUCGCGUGGUUUGUACCUCUUUUACUAGGGGGAACACCGCGUUUUCUACACACUCUUUUGUAUGUCUUCAGAAUGUCUAUUGUUGCGAUACAACGCAUCCAAUACAACUUUCAACAACGGAUCUCUUGGUUCUCGCAUCGAUGAAGAACGCAGCGAAAUGCGAUAAGUAAUGUGAAUUGCAGAAUUCAGUGAAUCAUCGAAUCUUUGAACGCACCUUGCGCUCCUUGGUAUUCCGAGGAGCACGCCUGUUUGAGUGUCGUGAAAUUCUCAACCCUUCCCCCUUUUACGAGGCGGGCUUGUGGAUUGGACUUGGAGGUCUUUUGCCGGCGUUUUACUAAGUCGGCUCCUCUUAAAUGUAUUAGUAGGACCUUCAGUUGAAGAAGCCUCGGUGUGAUAAUUAUCUACGCCGGCUCGUGUGCUAUAUUCACUGUAUGUUGAACCUGCUUCUAACCGUCUCGCAAGGGACAAA
RNAcentral lists this ribosomal RNA (614 nucleotides) under Basidiomycota sp. I141. RNAcentral describes it as "eukaryotic LSU rRNA". The stretch from base 251 to 404 matches the Rfam family "5.8S ribosomal RNA". Lineage: Eukaryota; Fungi; Basidiomycota. The record is from RNAcentral.